CAUUGUCGAAAUCGAACGGAAGAACGACCCGCGAACCGUCCUUGCGUCUCAGAGAGGGCCUGUGAGCGUCACGCUUGCGCGGCUCGAGUCGCGUCGGCGUGUGCGUACGCGAGGCCCCCGUCGUGCCGACGGAAAAGCAUUUUUUCAGCACGGAUCGUGCCAAGGAGCUGCAUGGAGAGAAUCGUCGUCCCGCGCCUUUGGUCGCCCUCGUGCGUGACGCUAGGCGGGGGACGCACGUGGCCUCUGCGAACGAGUCCAAAUGACUCUCGGCAACGGAUAUCUCGGCUCUUGCAUCGAUGAAGAACGUAGCGAAAUGCGAUACUUGGUGUGAAUUGCAGAAUCCCGCGAACCAUCAAUUAUUUGAACGCAAGUUGCGCCCGAAGCCAUUCGGCCGAGGGCACGCCUGCCUGGGCGUCGCGAGUCCCCUUGCCCCUGGUCACCCGCUACGAUGCAUGCGCAUCGCGGGGGUCGACGGUCGGGCGCAGAACGUGGUUCUCCCGUUCGUUUUGCACGCGCGGCGUGUCGACGGGCGGUUGACCGAAAUUCGAGCAGGGAGGGAGCUGACGGGAACCACGCCGUUCGGUGGAUCUAAUGAGAUCGGCUGCGUCGUGGCGUCGGCACGCGUCUCGCUCCGGGCUUUGGCUAUCCCGAGUGCGA
Molecule: ribosomal RNA, 657 nt
Filed under: Sonerila hainanensis
Lineage: Eukaryota; Viridiplantae; Streptophyta; Magnoliopsida; Myrtales; Melastomataceae
Description: eukaryotic LSU rRNA
Rfam family: 5.8S ribosomal RNA (bases 262-417)
Source: RNAcentral